This 3106-nucleotide ribosomal RNA is filed under the name Hevea brasiliensis (rubber tree). RNAcentral's name for it is "eukaryotic LSU rRNA". It matches the Rfam family "Eukaryotic large subunit ribosomal RNA", at positions 502 to 3401 of the family's 3401-position model. The record is from RNAcentral. Lineage: Eukaryota; Viridiplantae; Streptophyta; Magnoliopsida; Malpighiales; Euphorbiaceae.
CUUAUUCCUUUACAAAGCUAUACAAUUGCCAUUAAAGGAAAAACAAAGCUCUCUCAAGCUCUCUAGGCUUAUACAAUUGCCAUUAAAGGAAAACAAAGCUCGUCUCAAGCUUCUCUCACAAAGUUGCUCCACAAAGUUGCUCCCGCAAACUCACUCACUCACUCACAAAUUCUCUAUCUACAAAUGAAAGGGAACACGUCCCAUUUAUACAAGCUUUUGGCUGUCCCAAUUGUUCCCAACAUGUGGCAGAAUUUGUCCACUCAAAGGGACCAAAAUAUGCAUGGGAAAUGAAGUGUCAUCAUCAAGGACAUGGGGCAGCACAACCUUGUGCCACCUAGCACCCAUUUGCCGCUUGGAAUUGAAAUGGUGGAGGGGGUGGAGGGAACAUGGCGCAAGCCAGCUGGGCCCCUUGGCAGGCUCAGUGGCGGGACAUUUUCCCUCCAAUCCCCCAAUGCAUGGAUGAAGAUACCAUGCACGUAAAUUGCCUUCAAGCCACUCUCACGUGCUGGUUCUCUUAGUGGCGCCUCCAUGCGCCGACUAAUUUCCUCACCACACGGUUUUGCAAUGUCUAAUACGUGAAUCCAUCUUCAGCUGCAUGUGGUGGCAUUUCCAUUAGAUAAUGCGCCGCAUUAAUUUAAUCUUUCAUGCCCAUCUGGCCGCUCACUUUUGGUGUACUGCACAUGGCACCAUUUCUAGCAAUUUAAUUCCCACAUCACAUGCUUACGUAAGUGGUUUGUCCAACUAAUAUUCCAAAGCGCCAACAUGUUCCACUAAUGCCUUCACAUGCAAAUUUGAGAAAAUGAACACGUUGAAACUCAACUUGACCAAUUUAGUGCGCCCCAUUUUCUGGUCACAUGCACUGGACAAGUCCUAACGUCCAUUUCUAGGACCAAUGCAUGGCAAUUCUUCACAGUGAACUCAUGCCAUGCACACCCAAUUUCAACGUGAACCAAAUCCCAUGCACAUCUCACCGUAGCUUUCCUUAGCAAUUUCAUGCGCAGCCAAUUUAGGCCUUCAAGGGCAGCAACAGCAAAUUAUUUGGACUCCUCGGGGCAAAAAAAUCGGGGGAGACAACGGCGAGCCCGGCGGGCGGAGCGGCCGCCGGUGCACGAUCUUGGUGGUCAGUAGCAAUAAUUAAAAUGAGAACUUGAAGGCCGAAGAGGGAAAGGUUCGCAUGUGAACGGCCAACUGUGCACAUGGUUUAGUCGAUCCUAUAGACGGGGGAAGCCCGUCCGACGCGCGUCGCGCGCUGAGCCUUCGAAAGGAAUCGGGUUAAAAUUUCCCGAAACCGGGACCGCGGCGGCUUGACGGCAACGUAGGUGGAGUCCGGAGACGUCGGCGGGGCUCGAAGAGUUUAUCUUUCUGUUUUACGGCCCGCCCACGCCUGGAAACGACUCAGUCGGAGGUAGGGUCCAGCGGCCGGAAGAGCACCGCACGUCGCGCGGUGUCCGGUGCGCCCCCGCGGCCGUGAAAAUCCGGAGGACCGAGUUGCCUCCGCGCGCCCGGUCGUACUCAUACCGCAUCAGGUCUCCAAGGUGAACCAGCCUCUGGCCAUGGAAAAUGUAGGCAGGGAAGUCGGCAAAAAACGGAUCGUAACCUCGGAGAAAAGGAUUGGCUCUGAGGGCUGGGCCGGGGUCCCAGUCCCGAACCCGUUCGGCUGUCGGCGAACUGCUUCGAGCUGCUCCCCCGGCGAGAGCGGGUCGCCGCGGUGCCGGCCUGGGGGACGGACUGGGAACGGCCCCUCCGGGGGCCUUCCCGGGCGUGCCGAACAGUCGACUCAGAACUGGUAGCGGACAAGGGGAAUCGACUGUUUAAUUAAAACAAAGCAUUGCGAUGGUCUGCGGAUGCUCACGCAAUGUGGCUUCCUGGCCCAGUGCUCUGAAUGUCAACAGUGAAGAAAUUCACCAAGCGCGGGUAAUACGGCGGGAGUAACUAUGACUCUUUUAAGGUAGGCCAAAUCGCCUCGUAUCUUAUUAGUCGACGCGGCGAUCGAAUGGAUUAAACGAGAUCCCACUGUCGUCCUACUUACCAGCGAAACCAGACAGCCAAGGGAAACGGGCCUUUGGCGGAAUCGCGGGGAACAGAAGACCGCUGUUGAGCUUGACUCUAGUCCCGACUUUGCUGAAAUGACUGAGAGGUGUAGGAUAACUGGGAGCCGAACGGCGACUGGUGAAUACACUACUUUUAACGUUAUUUUACCUUAUUCGUGAAUCGGAGGCGGGGCCUCGCCCCUUCUUUUUUUUUUGACCCAAGGCGCCACGCUGCGGCCGAUCGGGCGGAAGACAUUGUCAGGUGGCGAGUUUGGCGGGGCGGCACAUCCUGUUAAAGAAUAACGCAGGUGUCCUAAGAUGAGCUCAACGAGAAACAGAAAUCUCGUGUGGAACAAAAGGGUAAAAGCUCGUUUGAUCUGAUUUCCAGUACGAAUACGAACCGUGAAAGCGUGGCCUAUCGAUUUUACGACCUUCGGAAUUUGAAGCUAGAGGUGUCAGAAAAGUUACCGACAGGAUAAUGGCUUGUGCAGCCCAAGCGUUCAUAAGCGACGUCUGCUCUUUUGAAUCCUUUCCGAUGUCGGCUCUUCCUUAUCAUACUGUGAAGCAGAAUUCAACCAGUGUUUGGAUUGUUCACCCACCAUAGGGACGUGAAGCUGGGUUUAGACCCGCUCGUGAGACGGUUAGUUUUACCCCAGCUGAUGACCCGUCGCGAUGGUAAUUCAACCUAGUACGAGGAGGAACCGUUGAUUCGCACAAUUGGUCAUCGCGCUUGUUAAAAGAAAGCCAGGUGGGCGCGAAGCUCACCGUGCGCUGGAUUCAUGACUGAACGCCUCUAAGUCAGAAUCCGGGCCCGAAGCGAGCCCGUUCCGGCGCCCAGCUGCCGACACGCCAGUAGGGGCCACUCCGGCCCCCAGAGGCACGUGCCGUUGGCCAGCCCCCGCGGCGGACGAGCCGCGCGGGCCGCCUUGAAGUACUAUUCCCACCGGGCGUGCGGGCAGAAUCCUUUGCAGACACUUAAAUACGCGACGGGGUAUUUGUAAGUGCAGAGGGCCUUGCUGCCACGAUCCACUGAGAAAUUCAAGCCCUUGUCGCUCCGAUUCGUCCCUCCCCCCCUC